RNAcentral lists this ribosomal RNA (253 nucleotides) under uncultured bacterium. RNAcentral describes it as "partial 16S ribosomal RNA". It matches the Rfam family "Bacterial small subunit ribosomal RNA", at positions 524 to 776 of the family's 1533-position model. The record is from RNAcentral.
UACGUAGGUGGCAAGCGUUGUCCGGAAUUAUUGGGCGUAGAGCGCGCGCAGGCGGUCCUUUAAGUCUGAUGUGAAAGCCCACGGCUCAACCGUGGAGGGUCAUUGGAAACUGGGGGACUUGAGUGCAGAAGAGGAGAGUGGAAUUCCACGUGUAGCGGUGAAAUGCGUAGAGAUGUGGAGGAACACCAGUGGCGAAGGCGACUCUCUGGUCUGUAACUGACGCUGAGGCGCGAAAGCGUGGGGAGCAAACAGG